UGUCCCCGAGGGGAAAUUCUUUUUCACAGCACUGUUACUGUCCAAAAGACAGGUCCCACCAAAGAACAUUUAUACCCAGAGAAUAACACAACAAACAGAGUUAGACAACGGUUAAGAUUUCCCAUUUCUGGCCUGUUCAGCGAGGCCUUUUGUUCGGGGCCGUUAUUACAGCGGGGAUCAGGCUCCUCCCGAGGCGAGCCUUUCUGCACCUCAGUGCUCUAUACCUCUGUCCUGAGGGAAGUGGGGCGAGGGACGCGGUCAUGUUUCCUCACCUUUCCUUAUCGACUCUGCUGAGCUUGACCAGUCGAGAGAGAGAGCUACUCGAGAGCGGAUAUACAAAAGAAGCAGAGGGACCAGCAGCAAUGGGAAUCAAACUGUACUACACCACCGUUACAGCCUCACGGACGGUGAGUGAAGUGGCCGUAACUAAAUGAACUUACCUGUGUGUCGGUGUUUCUCAGCACCGCUGGCAGCACCCUGCACAGUCCUGCAGACACACCCAGCAGCACCCUAUCAGUAACAGCGUCCUCCUGACUAACGGUGCAGCGGGCCUGUGCUGUUCAGCCUCCUUUUAAAUCGAUAUUGUCAGCAUUAAUAUGGGGGGCCUGGGUACCUACCUCAAAGAAAAGAAAAGUUAUCGGCCGAAAGUUGAAUGUAAUAAAAGAUCUCACUGAAACGA
Non-coding RNA from Labrus bergylta (ballan wrasse), 679 nucleotides. The record is from RefSeq and is a predicted model, not a curated record. NCBI's taxonomy places the organism in Eukaryota, Metazoa, Chordata, Actinopteri, Labriformes, Labridae.